RNAcentral lists this ribosomal RNA (114 nucleotides) under Acanthosepion pharaonis. Lineage: Eukaryota; Metazoa; Mollusca; Cephalopoda; Sepiida; Sepiidae. The record is from RNAcentral.
UUAUGGCCACAUCACGCUGAAACACUGCUUCCAGUAAGAUUACCGAAGUUAAGCAACGUCGAACAUGGUCAGUACCUAGAUGGGUAACCGCUCGGGAAUACCAGGUGCUGUAAG